GCCCGGGUGGUGGAAUUGGUGAUACACACGGGACUUAAAAUCCCGCGCCGAAAGGCAUGUCGGUUCGAAUCCGACCCCGGGCACCA
RNAcentral lists this transfer RNA (86 nucleotides) under Pseudomonadota bacterium. RNAcentral describes it as "tRNA-Leu". It matches the Rfam family "tRNA". Rfam says of the family: Transfer RNA (tRNA) molecules are approximately 80 nucleotides in length. The record is from RNAcentral. Lineage: Bacteria; Pseudomonadati; Pseudomonadota.